This 348-nucleotide unclassified non-coding RNA is filed under the name soil metagenome. RNAcentral's name for it is "partial contains 5.8S ribosomal RNA, internal transcribed spacer 2, and large subunit ribosomal RNA". The stretch from base 1 to 120 matches the Rfam family "5.8S ribosomal RNA", at positions 35 to 154 of the family's 154-position model. The record is from RNAcentral.
GAUGAAGAACGCAGCGAAAUGCGAUACGUAAUGUGAAUUGCAGAAUUCAGUGAAUCAUCGAGUCUUUGAACGCACAUUGCGCCCCCUGGUAUUCCGGGGGGCAUGCCUGUCCGAGCGUCAUUGCUGCCCUCAAGCACGGCUUGUGUGUUGGGCCCCCGCCCCCCGGUUCCCGGGGGGCGGGCCCGAAAGGCAGCGGCGGCACCGCGUCCGGUCCUCGAGCGUAUGGGGCUUCGUCACCCGCUCUGUAGGCCCGGCCGGCGCUUGCCGAUCAACCCAAAUUUUUAUCCAGGUUGACCUCGGAUCAGGUAGGGAUACCCGCUGAACUUAAGCAUAUCAAUAAGCGGAGGA